RNAcentral lists this long non-coding RNA (1076 nucleotides) under Equus asinus (donkey). Its description in RNAcentral is "lncRNA (ENSEASG00005026524.1)". The record is from RNAcentral. Lineage: Eukaryota; Metazoa; Chordata; Mammalia; Perissodactyla; Equidae.
AGGUGGAGGUGAUGGGGAGGAAGCUAAAUUAGGACCAGUUCAAUUUCCUUCUUGGCCAACUGGAUGUGGAUUUGAAACUGACCACAUUUGAUUUAAGGAAAUAAGAGAUGUGACCACUCUGACUCCCCAAAUUGUGGAGUUAAUUCAACUUAUUUCGUGGAUGUUAAAUGGGGUGGCACAAGUACCUCUGGUCCUAGGGAGACCUCUUUUAAGUUCUUCUAUCUGUUAAGCUGAUUCCUUUGUUAUAAGAGCUGGAAUCUCCAAGAGGCCAGAUGUGCUGGGCCUCACAACCAAUGAUGCAAUGGACAGCCUGUGGCUGAAGGGGGAGCCCUUCUAAAGCACCAGCUUGGGCCACAGCUGCCAUGUCUAGGGGCAGCAAGUCACCAGCUCCUAUCGCUCUGCCAGGGCACCCUUCCUCAUCUCCUCUAGAGUUACCUCCUCCCCUCUCCCCGCAAGGAGGGUCUUCAACACGGAGUUCCCCAGAGCAAGGGAUGAUCUCAGCGGGAGAGGGGAUCCAUCAUGCAAGAGGCCAGCAGUUUUCACCCGGCUCUGCUAAGACUUUAGGAGAGUCAUUUCGCCACUCUGAGCCUCAGUUCUCAUAUAAGAUAGAAGACCAUACAAGGUUGUUGAGAACUACAUGAAAUUAAAUUCUGUACAAGAUGAAAAAAUGCCCUCUGACUGAGUGUUCCUGAGGGCAUGGGACAUGUUCUUCUUAUCUUUGUCCCCUACUGCUUUGUAGGGGGCCUGAUGAAUGGCAAACUCUUAGUUCAUGUUUCCUGGAGGCAUGAAUGAGUGGAGGAGUGAAGAAUAAUGUCUGCAACACGGUGGGAACACAAAGUUUGAUUUAAUUUUCAUGUGCUCUAAGGCUGAAUUUCUCAAUUGUAUUCCCCAGAGUAUUACUGUUCCUUGAAGGAUCGAUAGGAAAAAGUCACGGUGAAGGACUAUUCUAUAGUUAAAUAAUUUUGGAAUAUGGGGGCCCUUGGAGCUUCCCAAUAUUAGUUAUUCAGUACACUUUUACUGAGCAUCUACUGUAUGUCUGGCACUGUUCUGGGUGUGGGGGACAAAUAGAGCUGUCA